RNAcentral lists this long non-coding RNA (688 nucleotides) under Triticum aestivum (bread wheat). RNAcentral describes it as "long non-coding RNA (TAES_LNC024612)". The record is from RNAcentral. Lineage: Eukaryota; Viridiplantae; Streptophyta; Magnoliopsida; Poales; Poaceae.
AUUCUCUUGAACUCUCGAAGGCAAGACCUGGUGCUGAAUUUUGCAGGCUCCACAAGCAAUUUAGUCUGUAGAAAAGAAAUAGCAAAAUUUCAUUAUCACAUAUGAAGUAAAAAAAUGAAACCUCCCUAGUAGUCAUGAAUGACUGACAUAACAUAUUUGGAGAGAAAAGUUAAAUUGAAAGAAAAAGUUGAAGAGAAUUACUGUAAAGUGUGUUGGGAAUGAAAAUUUUGAAGGCUUCUUUGAUUUUGGAUCAGGAUUCAAAUUCUCAUGGUUGAAAACUGCAACAUAGGCAUCCAUGACUUCAUCAUUGACUUUGCCAAUUGGUUUUAGACCGUUGUAGAACUUUUCAUAUGACACCGUUAGGUCAUUGAAAUAUAGAACAGUGGGACUGCAAAGACCAAAUGAUAAAAAUGGAGAUAGAUUAUUUGCAUUAGUACCAAAAGUCGUGAAAUGCACGACUCCAAGAACUUGAUUAGUUACGAAUGUGUACAACAAACUUACUUGCCUUUGAAGAACUUGUAGUUUAGGUACUUUUGGUAAAACUUGUCAACAGCUGGUUCUAGAUUCAAUGUUGAUAAUGGAGAUGCAGGGGACAACUUUUUUGCUUUUCUUUUCUUCCCGUUUUUUUUUCUCGAUGGUACUACGACCAGAUAGAACAUUUGGAGUACUUGUCUCAUUAACAUCAGAG